UUGAUAUGUAUAAAUCGAUUAGUUGACAAGAUACGCAAGGUGAAGAAAACACAUAACCUUUAGCGAGAUGCGCAAUUGCAUAGAAACGUCAAAGAGCGAGAUAAAAAUACAUAUGCAUAAAAUUGCAUUUCCUCUCGCAAACGCAGAACUUGUGAACUCGGCACCUCUGCGAAUACACUAUGAUGGAAGAUGUACGCGACGUAUUUGUCGACGGAUACAGCAGGCCUUCCAUCGUCCCCCCUGACCUCCCUCUCGUCUCCUGAACGUGCCGCCAUCAUAAGGGUAUAUCCUUCUGCCUUGCCGGAAGUGAGGAUCUCUUCAAGAGGGAGUCAGCGACCAUGCUGGGCCAGAUAGCGACGAAAUAAAGGACCGGAGAACCACCCCGAUACUUUUCCAUGGAGUGCUUUCGUCAUGUCUGGCUUCUGAAGCUUCCACGUCCGGCAGUUCCGUGUACAUAUACGUGCCCCAGGUGGUUGUCUCAAAUAACGCCACCUAAAGCGAGUAACUCGAUACCGAGGAUCCUGCGGAUGUUUGAACAUGGAUUGUGUUACACGUGCCCAUGCGUUUUUAGAUUAUCUUGCGUCCUUGCGAGUAACGAAACUAGUUCCCGAUUUUCUAGUAAAAUAUUUAAUACCCAUAUAGAAAACACAGGAUUCAGAAGUAAGGAUGAAGCGCAAGUCGAUAAUUUGCACGGUCCAUUUGAGGGCAUGACUUAAAAUGGAUUUAUCUUAUUUUUAUGUCGAAUCAUUCAGUUAUUUUCGCACGAACGAUCCAAUAUUAGGUCAAUUUACUUCUGUGAUUCUGCUGUAUUUAAG
Molecule: long non-coding RNA, 815 nt
Organism: Acromyrmex echinatior (Panamanian leafcutter ant)
Lineage: Eukaryota; Metazoa; Arthropoda; Insecta; Hymenoptera; Formicidae
Source: RefSeq, a predicted model, not a curated record